UGUUUCGGCUAGGGGGCCAUCCCGGCUUACCAACCCGAUGCAAACUGCGAAUACCGGAGAAUGUUAUCACGGGAGACACACGGCGGGUGCUAACGUCCGUCGUGAAGAGGGAAACAACCCAGACCGCCAGCUAAGGUCCCAAAGUCAUGGUUAAGUGGGAAACGAUGUGGGAAGGCCCAGACAGCCAGGAUGUUGGCUUAGAAGCAGCCAUCAUUUAAAGAAAGCGUAAUAGCUCACUGGUCGAGUCGGCCUGCGCGGAAGAUGUAACGGGGCUAAACCAUGCACCGAAGCUGCGGCAGCGACGCUUAGGCGUUGUUGGGUAGGGGAGCGUUCUGUAAGCCUGUGAAGGUGUGCUGUGAGGCAUGCUGGAGGUAUCAGAAGUGCGAAUGCUGACAUAAGUAACGAUAAAGCGGGUGAAAAGCCCGCUCGCCGGAAGACCAAGGGUUCCUGUCCAACGUUAAUCGGGGCAGGGUGAGUCGACCCCUAAGGCGAGGCCGAAAGGCGUAGUCGAUGGGAAACGGGUUAAUAUUCCCGUACUUGGUGUUACUGCGAAGGGGGGACGGAGAAGGCUAUGUUGGCCGGGCGACGGUUGUCCCGGUUUAAGCGUGUAGGUGUGUGUUCCAGGUAAAUCCGGUUCACUUUAACACUGAGGCGUGACGACGAGGCACUACGGUGCUGAAGCAACAAAUGCCCUGCUUCCAGGAAAAGCCUCUAAGCAUCAGGUAACAUCAAAUCGUACCCCAAACCGACACAGGUGGUCAGGUAGAGAAUACCAAGGCGCUUGAGAGAACUCGGGUGAAGGAACUAGGCAAAAUGGUGCCGUAACUUCGGGAGAAGGCACGCUGACACGUAGGUGAAGUGAUUUACUCACGGAGCUGAAGUCAGUCGAAGAUACCAGCUGGCUGCAACUGUUUAUUAAAAACACAGCACUGUGCAAACACGAAAGUGGACGUAUACGGUGUGACGCCUGCCCGGUGCCGGAAGGUUAAUUGAUGGGGUCAGCGCAAGCGAAGCUCCUGAUCGAAGCCCCGGUAAACGGCGGCCGUAACUAUAACGGUCCUAAGGUAGCGAAAUUCCUUGUCGGGUAAGUUCCGACCUGCACGAAUGGCGUAAUGAUGGCCAGGCUGUCUCCACCCGAGACUCAGUGAAAUUGAACUCGCUGUGAAGAUGCAGUGUACCCGCGGCAAGACGGAAAGACCCCGUGAACCUUUACUAUAGCUUGACACUGAACAUUGAGCCUUGAUGUGUAGGAUAGGUGGGAGGCUUUGAAGUGUGGACGCCAGUCUGCAUGGAGCCGACCUUGAAAUACCACCCUUUAAUGUUUGAUGUUCUAACGUGGACCCGUAAUCCGGGUUGCGGACAGUGUCUGGUGGGUAGUUUGACUGGGGCGGUCUCCUCCUAAAGAGUAACGGAGGAGCACGAAGGUUGGCUAAUCCUGGUCGGACAUCAGGAGGUUAGUGCAAUGGCAUAAGCCAGCUUGACUGCGAGCGUGACGGCGCGAGCAGGUGCGAAAGCAGGUCAUAGUGAUCCGGUGGUUCUGAAUGGAAGGGCCAUCGCUCAACGGAUAAAAGGUACUCCGGGGAUAACAGGCUGAUACCGCCCAAGAGUUCAUAUCGACGGCGGUGUUUGGCACCUCGAUGUCGGCUCAUCACAUCCUGGGGCUGAAGUAGGUCCCAAGGGUAUGGCUGUUCGCCAUUUAAAGUGGUACGCGAGCUGGGUUUAGAACGUCGUGAGACAGUUCGGUCCCUAUCUGCCGUGGGCGCUGGAGAACUGAGGGGGGCUGCUCCUAGUACGAGAGGACCGGAGUGGACGCAUCACUGGUGUUCGGGUUGUCAUGCCAAUGGCACUGCCCGGUAGCUAAAUGCGGAAGAGAUAAGUGCUGAAAGCAUCUAAGCACGAAACUUGCCCCGAGAUGAGUUCUCCCUGAGACUUUAGGUCUCCUGAAGGAACGUUGAAGACGACGACGUUGAUAGGCCGGGUGUGUAAGCGCAGCGAUGCGUUGAGCUAACCGGUACUAAUGAACCGUGAGGCUUAACCUUACAACGCCG
RNAcentral lists this ribosomal RNA (2048 nucleotides) under Salmonella enterica subsp. enterica serovar Isaszeg. RNAcentral describes it as "partial 23S ribosomal RNA". It matches the Rfam family "Bacterial large subunit ribosomal RNA", at positions 911 to 2925 of the family's 2925-position model. The record is from RNAcentral. Lineage: Bacteria; Pseudomonadati; Pseudomonadota; Gammaproteobacteria; Enterobacterales; Enterobacteriaceae.